UGGGGAAUAUUGGACAAUGGGGGAAACUCUGAUCCAGCAAUGCCGCGUGAGUGAAGAAGGCCUUAGGGUUGUAAAGCUCUUUCGCCCGCGAAGAUAAUGACGGUAGCGGGAGAAGAAGCCCCGGCUAACUCCGUGCCAGCAGCCGCGGUAAUGCGGAGGGGGCUAGCGUUGUUCGGAAUUACUGGGCGUAAAGCGUACGUAGGCGGAUGCGCAAGUUGGGGGUGAAAUCCCGGGGCUUAACCUCGGAAUUGCCCUCAAAACUGCACGUCUUGAGACCGAGAGAGGUAGGGGGAAUUCCUAGUGUAGAGGUGAAAUUCGUAGAUAUUAGGAAGAACACCAGUGGCGAAGGCGCCUUACUGGCUCGGUACUGACGCUGAGGUACGAAAGCGUGGGGAGCAAACA
Molecule: ribosomal RNA, 402 nt
Filed under: uncultured bacterium
Lineage: Bacteria
Description: bacterial SSU rRNA
Rfam family: Bacterial small subunit ribosomal RNA
Source: RNAcentral